RNAcentral lists this ribosomal RNA (508 nucleotides) under uncultured prokaryote. RNAcentral's name for it is "bacterial SSU rRNA". It matches the Rfam family "Archaeal small subunit ribosomal RNA", at positions 352 to 870 of the family's 1478-position model. The record is from RNAcentral.
GCAUAACAUUUACCAGGUGUGCCUCAAGACCUUCGCUGCGAUUGUAUACACUCUGGUGUAAAAGGGCGGGGGAUUAUCGACACGGCCAAUCUGGUGUCAGCCGUCGCGGUAAUACCAAAUCUCCUAGUGGUAGGAAUCAUUAUUGGGCCUAAAACGUACGUAGCCGAUCUUCCAGGUCUUUCCUUAAGUCCACGAAUUCAACUCGAUGAACUGCGACCCAUACUGAAAGGCUAUGGAACUAGAAAGCCGACGGUAUUUCUGGGGUAGGGGUAAAAUCCUAUAAUCCCAGGAGGACCACCAGUGGCGUAGGCGGUCGGCUAGCACGCGCUCGACGGUGAGGGACGAAAGCUGGGGGAGCAAACCGGAUUAGAUACCCGGGUAGUCCCAGCUGUAAACGAUGCGGGCUAAGUGUUGGAGCGGCUACCAGCCGCUUCAGUGCCGCAGGGAAGCCAUUAAGCCCGCCGCCUGGGGAGUACGGCCGCAAGGCUGAAACUUAAAGGAAUUGGCG